AGCUUUGCGCAGUGGCAGUAUCAUAGCCAAUGAGGUUUAUCUGAGGCGCGAUUAUUGCUAAUUGAAAGAAAGUAAAACCCACCUCUCAAAGUAAACUGAAGCUGAAUUUUUAAAAAAGUGUCUCCUAAUAUUCUCAAUUCACU
Small nuclear RNA from Tupaia belangeri (northern tree shrew), 143 nucleotides. Its record names the gene U4. It matches the Rfam family "U4 spliceosomal RNA". From Rfam's summary of the family: U4 small nuclear RNA (U4 snRNA) is a component of the major U2-dependent spliceosome. The structure of U4 snRNA from yeast and human has been reported. NCBI's taxonomy places the organism in Eukaryota, Metazoa, Chordata, Mammalia, Scandentia, Tupaiidae. The record is from Ensembl.